Molecule: ribosomal RNA, 229 nt
Filed under: uncultured bacterium
Lineage: Bacteria
Description: partial 16S ribosomal RNA
Rfam family: Bacterial small subunit ribosomal RNA
Source: RNAcentral
UAAAGUGGCGCACGGGUGAGUAACACGUGAAUGAUCUACCUCCGAGUGGGGAAUAACCUAGAGAAAUCUGGGCUAAUACCGCAUAACACUUACGAGUCAAAGCAGCAAUGCGCUUGGAGAGGAGUUCGCGGCCGAUUAGUUAGUUGGCGGGGUAAUGGCCCACCAAGACGAUGAUCGGUAUCCGGCCUGAGAGGGCGCACGGACACACUGGAACUGAAACACGGUCCAG